Long non-coding RNA from Bactrocera oleae (olive fruit fly), 909 nucleotides. RefSeq lists it as uncharacterized. NCBI's taxonomy places the organism in Eukaryota, Metazoa, Arthropoda, Insecta, Diptera, Tephritidae. The record is from RefSeq and is a predicted model, not a curated record.
CAGCAAAUUUAUUUUCGUAGUGUUGCGAUUAGAGGCGAGCAUGUUUCGAGUGAAUUUCAGUUCAGAAAAGAUUUUUUAGUAGUGUUCGCGCUUGGACAAAUGAUAGCAUUAAUUCUAGCUCCUCAUAGCAUAACCGUCUGCUAUUUUACCUUCACUUUUUCAAUAUUCUUGCAUGGGGAUCUUUCGCAUGAGCUGCUGGAACCAAUUGAGGUAACAAGGAAAAAUAAAAGAAGAAAGCUAAAAAACAGACCUUACAGUUUUUACGAUCUCACCCGGAUUUUCUUCGAGGAGCAUUGGAUAAGUGAAAAAGACAAAUAAAUUUCAAAAAACAACAGGAUAUAAGUCAAGGCAAGCAAAAUGCCGAUGACUGGGAUGAGAACAAGAACAGUUUCUUUUUUCCAAGAAGAGAAUAAACUAUGUAUAUGCUUAAUGACCACAUUUUAGUAACGGGCUUAAAUCUAUGGAAUAGAUGGAACAUUACAGCAAGGGAGUUAUGGUAUUUUGGUCAUGAAUGAGAUUUCCGAUUCUAUUUGUAGCUUUCCGUUCGCUUUUGUAAGUCUAAUAGCAUAAAUAUAUUUACCGACAGAGAGAUGAGUGAUUGAGUGAGUCAACAUAUUCUAAACGAUGUUCUGAGUAGGAAGUUUAUCGCCGCUAGAAUUGUACAUUUUUACAAAAACAAGAAUAAACGUUGACCUUGGCUGCACCGAACCUAUAACACCCUUCACAGGUGCAAUUAUUUAGCAUGAAAGAGUAGAAAAAUAUCUCUAUCUUGUUUUUGUUAUGCUAUGUACACUGAUACGAUCUGAAAAAUUCGGAUUUGGAUUUGGAGAUUGCAGCAUUGCUUUGAACAAUAAUCUAUGCCAAAUUUCCUGAGGAUAAUUUCUCAAAUAAAAUAAGUUUUUCAAACAA